UACGUAGGGGGCGAGCGUUGUCCGGAGUUACUGGGCGUAAAGGGCGGGUAGGCGGCCACCGCAAGUCGACUGUGAAAUCUCCGGGCUUAACCCGGAAAGGUCAGCCGAUACUGCGGGGCUAGAGUGCAGAAGGGGCAACUGGAAUUCUCGGUGUAGCGGUGAAAUGCGUAGAUAUCGAGAGGAACACCUGCGGCGAAGGCGGGUUGCUGGGCUGACACUGACGCUGAACUGCGAAAGCUAGGGGAGCGAACGGG
RNAcentral lists this ribosomal RNA (254 nucleotides) under uncultured bacterium. RNAcentral's name for it is "partial 16S ribosomal RNA". It matches the Rfam family "Bacterial small subunit ribosomal RNA", at positions 524 to 776 of the family's 1533-position model. The record is from RNAcentral.